Molecule: small RNA, 28 nt
Filed under: Bombyx mori (domestic silkworm)
Lineage: Eukaryota; Metazoa; Arthropoda; Insecta; Lepidoptera; Bombycidae
Description: ovarian small RNA-31858
Source: RNAcentral
UGACUACAAAGAUGGCGUUUACCUAAGC